RNAcentral lists this unclassified non-coding RNA (344 nucleotides) under soil metagenome. RNAcentral describes it as "partial contains 5.8S ribosomal RNA, internal transcribed spacer 2, and large subunit ribosomal RNA". The stretch from base 1 to 119 matches the Rfam family "5.8S ribosomal RNA", at positions 35 to 154 of the family's 154-position model. The record is from RNAcentral.
GAUGAAGAACGCAGCAAAUGCGAUACGUAAUGUGAAUUGCAGAAUUCAGUGAAUCAUCGAGUCUUUGAACGCACAUUGCGCCCCCUGGUAUUCCGGGGGGCAUGCCUGUCCGAGCGUCAUUGCUGCCCUCAAGCACGGCUUGUGUGUUGGGCCUCCGUCCUCCUCCCGGGGGACGGGCCCGAAAGGCAGCGGCGGCACCGCGUCCGGUCCUCGAGCGUAUGGGGCUUCGUCACCCGCUCUUGUAGGCCCGGCCGGCGCUUGCCGACACAUCAAUCUUUUUUCCAGGUUGACCUCGGAUCAGGUAGGGAUACCCGCUGAACUUAAGCAUAUCAAUAAGCGGAGGA